AGAAUAAAAACAACUUUUUAUUAUAAACCCCAUGUAUAUAUAUAUUUAUACACAUGCCACCUUGCGCAGGAUGCAAAUACUUUGAUCAGUACUAUUAAAUUUUUUUGUUUUUUAAAGAAAACGACACCCCGUAAUUUAUUAAAGAACCCUCAGUACUUAAAAACUUGAUUACAACUAAGGACUCCAUCUUUAUGGUAACAUUAAACCCAACAGUAAUGUUGUUGGUUUUUGAUAUGUAAAGCAGUACUAACCCAUUUAUUCAAGUAUUUGCCUUUUAGUUUCGGACCAAGCUGCUGACAGCACACACUGGUCUCCGUUCAUUUCAUUUAUAAUUGCAAACUACAAACCAGAGAGGGAGAGAGAGAGAUAGAGAGAGAGGUCAGUGUCAAUAGCUGUAAAGACCAAACCCACCAUUGAAUACUUCAUCUAUAGCACGGUACAAGAAGAGGAAGAGAGAUCUAGCCCGAGACGUGGUUUCCAACAAAGUCCAGAUGCUAUUCAUCGUUCUGGUUCUUGGAUCUCACUUGUCCGGUUUGUUGGUUUGAGAGGUUGAAGCUGCCAGCAUGAUCUGGUAAGAACCAAUCAGUCUAGACAAUAGCGUGAAUCUUGCACCAACAAAUUCAGAUAUGUAGCCACUUAGGUGCGGAGAAUAUAUUUGGCGGAACCCAUAUGGUUUAUAUGUCCUCGAAAAAAAUAUAUGAACUAUAUAUAUAUAUAUAUAUAUAUAUAUAUAUAUAUAUCACCUGGCCUGCUUCAUCUAGAUCAAUUUUGCUUGAUUUUAUUCGAUGAAUAUGUGAGUAAUAUUAAUAUUGAUUCUAUAGCUAAACAGAUAAGUUUUUAAAGGGGUUUUCGAGGAAGCCAAGGAUUAUUAACUAGAAUCAACGAGAAAUUAAAUCUCGUUCCACUUCAACUUCGUAGAUAAUAUGGUUCCAUCAGGUCAUCCUGCAGCUUCAAUCACUCACUUCCGACAAAGGAAGAAACCUUCGCAUCUUUUUAAGGAUGUAUACUAGUACUGGUUCAUACUCUACAAAUGCAUUCCAGCAGGUAUUGAUCAUCCAAUAUUCUAUAUUUGUUUUAUUUCUUGUAUCUUCUGAUCUCAUGGAGAAGUUUUGUUGUUGAUUUUGAUCAAGAACUAGACCAAUUCAUUUUUCUGUAGUGAUUUUGCAUUCAGAAGCUAGCUAUAAUUAUUUGGCUUUCCACAGACAUAUAGUAGUACUUAUGAAUACAUACAUACAUGACAUGAAAGAUGCCACGCACCUGCUUGUCCAUGCUAGCUGUCAUGGCUUCUUGAGUUUUCAACUCACCCAGAACCAGCCAUGCCUCGUAAUAAUAUUUUGAAAACGAAAACGAAAAUCUCUGAUCUCUGUCUCUCGCUAGGCAUGUGCAUUUUUGUCUUGAUUUUUGUGGUAGUAUCUGGAAGACUAGAACCAUAAUGUAAAACAAAUUCUCAAGACAAGCCAACGAGGCAGUUAUCAAAGCGUAGUUGCACUUUUGGCCGCUGGUACUUUACAUGUAUAUCAUGCACAGAUAGAUAGCUGUUGCUCUCUGAUCAUAUAUAUGUGUGUGUGGUCUCUCAAAUCUCAAUAUCUAUAUAUUCAUCUCAUUUACCAUCUCAUGCUUUCAUUCAUCUUUCAGAAAAAGGGACUGAAAAGGUACGACUACUAUUGUUUUACCUUUGUCACAUGAUCUACUGCUAUUACGUGUCCAGUACGUUUUGAUGUUCAUAUUGAUCUAGCAGUUUAUAU
Long non-coding RNA from Juglans microcarpa x Juglans regia, 1745 nucleotides. RefSeq lists it as uncharacterized. NCBI's taxonomy places the organism in Eukaryota, Viridiplantae, Streptophyta, Magnoliopsida, Fagales, Juglandaceae. The transcript has 2 exons. The record is from RefSeq and is a predicted model, not a curated record.